Molecule: ribosomal RNA, 113 nt
Filed under: Periophthalmus magnuspinnatus
Lineage: Eukaryota; Metazoa; Chordata; Actinopteri; Gobiiformes; Gobiidae
Source: RNAcentral
AUUUGUGGCCAUACUGGCUUGUCAAAAGCAGAUCUCAUCAGAUCUCAGAAGUGAGGCCGGGCCUGGUUAGUACUUUGAUGGGAAACCGCUGGGAAUACAAGUUGGCGCAGUGG